UUCCCGUACGAUGACCGAAGUUAAGCAACGUCGAGCCUGGUUAGUACAUAAAUGGGUGACCGCUUGGGAAUACCAGGCGCUGUAA
Non-coding RNA from Acanthosepion pharaonis, 85 nucleotides. Lineage: Eukaryota; Metazoa; Mollusca; Cephalopoda; Sepiida; Sepiidae. The record is from the annotation of a GenBank genome assembly.